ACGUCUGCCGCCUCAAAUUUAUUUAACCCCCGGAANAAACNGCCACCAAUNAAGGAAAAAACCGGGAAGGGCCCUUUUUGACCCGGGCCGAUUUAAUUUUCCAAACGGGAANUNAACCUUAAAAAGGGGUCUCUCUCGUAAUUCUGCCUUGUAUCCGUAGACACGUGCGGUCUAUUAAUAGUGGGGAAGACGAGCUGUUCCCGAUGUAGCGGGCGACGGGUGACUAACCCGUGGGUACCCUGCCAGUAAGACUGGGAUAACUCCGGGAAACCCGGAGCUAAUACNUAAUAGAUCCCUUGAACCGCAUGGUUUCAGGAUGAAAGACGGUUUCGGCUGUCACUUACAGAUGACCCCGCGGCGCAUUAGCUAGUUGGUGAGGUAACGGCUCACCAAGGCGACGAUGCGUAGCCGACCUGAGAGGGUGAUCGGCCACACUGGGACUGAGACACGGCCCAGACUCCUACGGGAGGCAGCAGUAGGGAAUCUUCCGCAAUGGACGAAAGUCUGACGGAGCAACGCCGCGUGAGUGAUGAAGGUUUUCGGAUCGUAAAGCUCUGUUGUUAGGGAAGAACAAGUGCAAGAGUAACUGCUUGCACCUUGACGGUACCUAACCAGAAAGCCACGGCUAACUACGUGCCAGCAGCCGCGGUAAUACGUAGGUGGCAAGCGUUGUCCGGAAUUAUUGGGCGUAAAGGGCUCGCAGGCGGUUUCUUAAGUCUGAUGUGAAAGCCCCCGGCUCAACCGGGGAGGGUCAUUGGAAACUGGGAAACUUGAGUGCAGAAGAGGAGAGUGGAAUUCCACGUGUAGCGGUGAAAUGCGUAGAGAUGUGGAGGAACACCAGUGGCGAAGGCGACUCUCUGGUCUGUAACUGACGCUGAGGAGCGAAAGCGUGGGGAGCGAACAGGAUUAGAUACCCUGGUAGUCCACGCCGUAAACGAUGAGUGCUAAGUGUUAGGGGGUUUCCGCCCCUUAGUGCUGCAGCUAACGCAUUAAGCACUUU
This 1000-nucleotide ribosomal RNA is filed under the name Bacillus pumilus. Its description in RNAcentral is "bacterial SSU rRNA". It matches the Rfam family "Bacterial small subunit ribosomal RNA", at positions 77 to 870 of the family's 1533-position model. Lineage: Bacteria; Bacillati; Bacillota; Bacilli; Caryophanales; Bacillaceae. The record is from RNAcentral.